This 492-nucleotide ribosomal RNA is filed under the name uncultured bacterium. RNAcentral describes it as "partial 16S ribosomal RNA". It matches the Rfam family "Bacterial small subunit ribosomal RNA", at positions 29 to 507 of the family's 1533-position model. The record is from RNAcentral.
AGUGAACGCUGGCGGUAGGCCUAACACAUGCAAGUCGAACGGCAGCACAGUAAGAGCUUGCUCUUACGGGUGGCGAGUGGCGGACGGGUGAGGAAUACAUCGGAAUCUACUUUUUCGUGGGGGAUAACGUAGGGAAACUUACGCUAAUACCGCAUACGACCUACGGGUGAAAGCAGGGGAUCUUCGGACCUUGCGCGAUUGAAUGAGCCGAUGUCGGAUUAGCUAGUUGGCGGGGUAAAGGCCCACCAAGGCGACGAUCCGUAGCUGGUCUGAGAGGAUGAUCAGCCACACUGGAACUGAGACACGGUCCAGACUCCUACGGAAGGCAGCAGUGGGGAAUAUUGGACAAUGGGCGCAAGCCUGAUCCAGCCAUGCCGCGUGGGUGAAGAAGGCCUUCGGGUUGUAAAGCCCUUUUGUUGGGAAAGAAAAGCAGCAGGUUAAUACCCCGCUGUUCUGACGGUACCCAAAGAAUAAGCACCGGCUAACUUCGUG